UCCUCGAUACAUCCAAAGCUCAAUCAGAUAUCCCCAAAUUAGAGCCCCUUCUCUCACACCAAAAUCCCCUUCUCUCUUUCACUCUGAACAGAGGCGACAAGCUUCCCCAAAUCAUGUGCUCUCUCCAAAUCCCUAAAGGCUAAAUCCAACACCAGUGAUUUUUGCUAGGAUUUGGGUCUUGUGACAUUUUACAGCUGUCGAGGCUUGAAUUAAUGUAGAACUGAGGUUUGGAAAGUCGCUGGAAAAUAGCAAUAUUUUCUAUUGAGGCAGUCAGGGUGCUGCUCGCAAAUUAGCUACACAGAGAAAGAAUAUAGAGGUCGCUGAAUUUGCUGGUGUAGCAGCAAAGCGAGUGAAGCUGCUAGCCUAUUUAAUUAAAAAAGAAGGGAUCAAUGUACUUUUAUUAAAACACGACCAACAACAACAACGACUAGGGUUCCCUUUCCCACUUCAACAGAGAUUCAGCGG
This is a long non-coding RNA of Nicotiana attenuata, 465 nucleotides long. RefSeq lists it as uncharacterized. The record is from RefSeq and is a predicted model, not a curated record. NCBI's taxonomy places the organism in Eukaryota, Viridiplantae, Streptophyta, Magnoliopsida, Solanales, Solanaceae. The transcript is spliced from 3 exons.